RNAcentral lists this ribosomal RNA (253 nucleotides) under uncultured bacterium. RNAcentral's name for it is "partial 16S ribosomal RNA". It matches the Rfam family "Bacterial small subunit ribosomal RNA", at positions 524 to 776 of the family's 1533-position model. The record is from RNAcentral.
UACGGAGGGGGCAAGCGUUGUUCGGAAUCAUUGGGCGUAAAGGGCGCGUAGGCGGCCGACCAAGUCGGGUGUGAAAUCCCUCGGCUCAACCGAGGAACUGCACUCGAUACUGGUUGGCUAGAGUCCGGGAGGGGAUGGUGGAAUUCCCAGUGUAGCGGUGAAAUGCGUAGAUAUUGGGAAGAACACCGGUGGCGAAGGCGGCCAUCUGGACCGGAACUGACGCUGAGGCGCGAAAGCAUGGGGAGCGAACAGG